GGGGGGUGAGGUAGUCGGUUGUAUUGUUGGGGGGCCGGGAUGGGGCCCCACACUCGAGGUAACGAUGCAGCCGACUACUUUCCCCCA
Colinus virginianus (northern bobwhite) is the source of this 87-nucleotide non-coding RNA. NCBI's taxonomy places the organism in Eukaryota, Metazoa, Chordata, Aves, Galliformes, Odontophoridae. The record is from Rfam.